Molecule: ribosomal RNA, 253 nt
Filed under: uncultured bacterium
Lineage: Bacteria
Description: partial 16S ribosomal RNA
Rfam family: Bacterial small subunit ribosomal RNA
Source: RNAcentral
AACGUAGGAGGCAAACGUUAUCCGGAGUUACUGGGCGUAAAGGGCGUGUAGGUGGUUGCGUAAGUCUGGCGUGAAAUUUUUCGGCUUAACCGGGAAAGGGCGUCGGAUACUGCGUAGCUAGAGGACGGUAGAGGCGUGUGGAAUUCCGGGUGUAGUGGUGAAAUGCGUAGAGAUCCGGAGGAACACCAGUGGCGAAGGCGACGCGCUGGGCCGAACCUGACACUGAUGCGCGAAAGCCUGGGGAGCAAACAGG